Molecule: ribosomal RNA, 253 nt
Filed under: uncultured bacterium
Lineage: Bacteria
Description: partial 16S ribosomal RNA
Rfam family: Bacterial small subunit ribosomal RNA
Source: RNAcentral
UACGUAGGGAGCAAGCGUUGUCCGGAAUCAUUGGGCGUAAAGCGCGCGUAGGUGGCCACAUAAGUCCGUUGUGAAAGUCAAAGGCUCAACCUUUGAAAGCCGAUGGAUACUGUGUGGCUAGAGUACGGAAGAGGCGAGUGGAAUUCCUGGUGUAGCGGUGGAAUGCGCAGAUAUCAGGAGGAACACCAAUAGCGAAGGCGGCUCGCUGGGCCAUACCUGACGCUGAGACGCGAAAGCGUGGGGAGCAAACAGG